This 557-nucleotide ribosomal RNA is filed under the name Serratia marcescens. RNAcentral's name for it is "bacterial SSU rRNA". It matches the Rfam family "Bacterial small subunit ribosomal RNA", at positions 976 to 1533 of the family's 1533-position model. Lineage: Bacteria; Pseudomonadati; Pseudomonadota; Gammaproteobacteria; Enterobacterales; Yersiniaceae. The record is from RNAcentral.
UACUCUUGACAUCCAGAGAACUUUCCAGAGAUGGAUUGGUGCCUUCGGGAACUCUGAGACAGGUGCUGCAUGGCUGUCGUCAGCUCGUGUUGUGAAAUGUUGGGUUAAGUCCCGCAACGAGCGCAACCCUUAUCCUUUGUUGCCAGCGGUUCGGCCGGGAACUCAAAGGAGACUGCCAGUGAUAAACUGGAGGAAGGUGGGGAUGACGUCAAGUCAUCAUGGCCCUUACGAGUAGGGCUACACACGUGCUACAAUGGCAUAUACAAAGAGAAGCGACCUCGCGAGAGCAAGCGGACCUCAUAAAGUAUGUCGUAGUCCGGAUUGGAGUCUGCAACUCGACUCCAUGAAGUCGGAAUCGCUAGUAAUCGUAGAUCAGAAUGCUACGGUGAAUACGUUCCCGGGCCUUGUACACACCGCCCGUCACACCAUGGGAGUGGGUUGCAAAAGAAGUAGGUAGCUUAACCUUCGGGAGGGCGCUUACCACUUUGUGAUUCAUGACUGGGGUGAAGUCGUAACAAGGUAACCGUAGGGGAACCUGCGGUUGGAUCACCUCCUUA